RNAcentral lists this transfer RNA (68 nucleotides) under Rheocricotopus villiculus. Its description in RNAcentral is "tRNA-Asp". Lineage: Eukaryota; Metazoa; Arthropoda; Insecta; Diptera; Chironomidae. The record is from RNAcentral.
AAAAAAUUAGUUAAAUAAAUAACAUUAGUAUGUCAAACUAAAAUUAUUAACCCCUUUAAUAUUUUUUA